RNAcentral lists this ribosomal RNA (460 nucleotides) under uncultured bacterium. RNAcentral's name for it is "partial 16S ribosomal RNA". It matches the Rfam family "Bacterial small subunit ribosomal RNA", at positions 338 to 795 of the family's 1533-position model. The record is from RNAcentral.
CCUACGGGAGGCUGCAGUGAGGAAUAUUGGUCAAUGGACGAGAGUCUGAACCAGCCAAGUAGCGUGAAGGAUGACUGCCCUAUGGGUUGUAAACUUCUUUUAUAUGGGAAUAAAAUGUUCCACGUGUGGGAUUUUGUAUGUACCAUAUGAAUAAGGAUCGGCUAACUCCGUGCCAGCAGCCGCGGUAAUACGGAGGAUCCGAGCGUUAUCCGGAUUUAUUGGGUUUAAAGGGAGCGUAGGUGGAUUGGUAAGUCAGUUGUGAAAGUUUGGGGCUCAACCGUAAAAUUGCAGUUGAAACUGGCAGUCUUGAGUACAGUAGAGGUGGGCGGAAUUCGUGGUGUAGCGGUGAAAUGCUUAGAGAUCACGAAGAACUCCGAUUGCGAAGGCAGUUCACUGGACUGCAACUGACACUGAGGCUCGAAAGUGUGGGUAUCAAACAGGAUUAGAUACCCGAGUAGGC